This 1282-nucleotide long non-coding RNA is filed under the name Dasypus novemcinctus (nine-banded armadillo). RNAcentral's name for it is "lncRNA (ENSDNOG00000051311.1)". Lineage: Eukaryota; Metazoa; Chordata; Mammalia; Cingulata; Dasypodidae. The record is from RNAcentral.
CCUGCCUGACGAGAGCCCGGCGCUCCUGGUGACGCUCUAGCUGGUGACCUAGAGAUUUCCCUCAGGCUGUAACUUUUGCAAAUAGUGAAACUGCGAAAAACACCUUCGCCGCGCUUUUCCCCAAAGCUGAGCUUGGCAGGACAUCCACAGCAAACCCUAAUACCCACCCGGGGGAAAAAUUCAAUCCAGCUCUGCCCAUUGCUACUCUAGUCCGUUUCUCCCAGGCAGGCAAGCCUGGACGCCGUGGAGGUCUUUCUGGGCGGGCGGCAGACACAGGUUUUUCUAGUUGGCUGCUACAACUGGCACGAAGACCCACAUCAUGAUCCCGCCCCACUUGUCUCUGACUAUCCGUCAGGGUUCAGUUGCAGUGAACAGAAUCCACUCUACCUAGUUUAAGCAGAAAUGGAUUUAUUAUUACAAGGUAUUCCGAGUCUUACAGGAUGACUGGAGAGCUUCAGAAAUAGAGUCUAGGCUGAGCAUCCGGGAAUGACUUCAAAAAGCUACACCACAGUCCUAGGUUGACAAGGAAGCUGCUGCCUCUGCCAGGAUCAGAAACUCUGGGAUCAGAAAGCCACCUGCCCACUGGGAAGCCAUUGUGACAUCUGCCCGGUUUCAGAAUCAUGCUGCUUCUACCAUGAUCUGUACCUUGCCUCUUGACAACAUAGAUAUAGGGCUGGGGCAUUAGAGUCUCUGUUACAGCUGUCAUAGAAAAAAAUAAAUGCCACCACAACCAUAUUAACUAGUAGGACCCCGAGAAGCACAGUUUCUGCCUCACAGUUAUUUAUUUCUGCCUUUAAAAAUUUGGUGUAGUGCAUCUGAUUGGUACAAUCUAAAUCAUAUAUCUGGAACCCUACCUGCAAGAGAGUCCGGGAAAUUGAGUUUUUAGCUUUCUGAUCUAGAAAGAGAUUGGAAUAACUACUGAAUGAGCAAUCCAAAUAUCCAUUGUAUUUGCUGAUUAUAUAGUUGCUUCACUUUAAUUCCUGGUCUCCAUUCCUAGACUCUCACUUCUCCAUAGGGAAUUGUCCAAGGUCUGAUAUGCUCUUCUUCUCAUAACAAGCACCAAGAAUGAAUGGUUCAGCCACUCUGGACCCAGUUAUGUCUUUCAACCAACAUUUAUUGUGUUCCUGUCAUGUUUACUCCUUAGACCAUCUCCCUCUCUCAUGAUUUCAAAAUCUGUUUCCAGCUUUAACAUUGAUUUUUCCCUUGAAUCCAGCUUCAAAUUGCUAACUGCCCAUUUGACAUCUUCUCAGGAAUGUCUCACCAGAUCUUCAAAGUCAAUACA